UGGGGAAUAUUGCACAAUGGGCGAAAGCCUGAUGCAGCAACGCCGCGUGAGUGAUGAAGGCCUUCGGGUUGUAAAGCUCUGUCCUCUGGGACGAUAAUGACGGUACCAGAGGAGGAAGCCACGGCUAACUACGUGCCAGCAGCCGCGGUAAUACGUAGGUGGCAAGCGUUGUCCGGAUUUACUGGGCGUAAAGGAUGCGUAGGCGGAUACUUAAGUCAGAUGUGAAAAUCCCGGGCUUAACUUGGGAACUGCAUUUGAAACUGGGUAUCUAGAGUGCGGGAGAGGAAAGUGGAAUUCCUAGUGUAGCGGUGAAAUGCGUAGAGAUUAGGAAGAACACCAGUGGCGAAGGCGACUUUCUGGACCGUAACUGACGCUGAGGCAUGAAAGCGUGGGGAGCAAACA
RNAcentral lists this ribosomal RNA (402 nucleotides) under uncultured bacterium. RNAcentral describes it as "bacterial SSU rRNA". It matches the Rfam family "Bacterial small subunit ribosomal RNA", at positions 355 to 774 of the family's 1533-position model. The record is from RNAcentral.